This 305-nucleotide ribosomal RNA is filed under the name uncultured bacterium. RNAcentral describes it as "bacterial SSU rRNA". It matches the Rfam family "Bacterial small subunit ribosomal RNA", at positions 333 to 654 of the family's 1533-position model. The record is from RNAcentral.
CAUCGCCUACGGGGGGCAGCAGUGGGGAAUAUUGCACAAUGGGGGAAACCCUGAUGCAGCAACGCCGCGUGAAGGAAGACGGUUUUCGGAUUGUAAACUUCUGUUCUUAGUGAAGAAUAAUGACGGUAGCUAAGGAGCAAGCCACGGCUAACUACGUGCCAGCAGCCGCGGUAAUACGUAGGUGGCAAGCGUUGUACGGAAUUACUGGGUGUAAGGGGAGCGCAGGCGGGAAGCCAAGUCAGCUGUGAAAACUACGGGCUUAACUUGUAGACUGCAGUUGAAGCUGGUUUUCUUGAGUGAAGUAG